RNAcentral lists this ribosomal RNA (468 nucleotides) under uncultured bacterium. RNAcentral's name for it is "partial 16S ribosomal RNA". It matches the Rfam family "Bacterial small subunit ribosomal RNA", at positions 28 to 507 of the family's 1533-position model. The record is from RNAcentral.
GACGAACGCUGGCGGCGUGCUUAACACAUGCAAGUCGAACGGAAAGGCCCUGCUUUUGUGGGGUGCUCGAGUGGCGAACGGGUGAGUAACACGUGAGUAACCUGCCCUUGACUUUGGGAUAACUUCAGGAAACUGGGGCUAAUACCGGAUAGGAGCUCCUGCUGCAUGGUGGGGGUUGGAAAGUUUCGGCUGUUGGGGAUGGACUCGCGGCUUAUCAGCUUGUUGGUGGGGUAGUGGCUUACCAAGGCUUUGACGGGUAGCCGGCCUGAGAGGGUGACCGGCCACAUUGGGACUGAGAUACGGACCAGACUCCUACGGGAGGCAGCAGUGGGGAAUAUUGCACAAUGGGCGGACGCCUGAUGCAGCAACGCCGCGUGCGGGAUGACGGCCUUCGGGUUGUAAACCGCUUUCGCCUGUGACGAAGCGUGAGUGACGGUAAUGGGUAAAGAAGCACCGGCUAACUACGUG